This 406-nucleotide ribosomal RNA is filed under the name uncultured bacterium. Its description in RNAcentral is "partial 16S ribosomal RNA". It matches the Rfam family "Bacterial small subunit ribosomal RNA", at positions 30 to 526 of the family's 1533-position model. The record is from RNAcentral.
AUUGAACGCUGGCGGCAGGCCUAACACAUGCAAGUCGAACGAGUGGCGGACGGGCGAGUAAUGUCUGGGAAACUGCCUGAUGGAGGGGGAUAACUACGGGAAACGGUAGCUAAUACCGCAUACCAUCGGAUGUGCACAGAUGGGAUUAGCUAGUCGGUGGGGUAACGGCCCACCUAGGCGACGCUCCCUAGCUGGUCUGAGAGGAUGACCAGCCACACUGGAACUGAGACACGGUCCAGACUACUACGGGAGGCAGCAGUGGGGAAUAUUGCACAAUGGGCGCAAGCCUGAUGUAGCCAUGCCGCGUGUAUGAAGAAGGCCUUCGGAUUGUAAAGCACUUUAAGUUGGGAGGCGUUACCAACAGAAUAAGCACCGGCUAACUUCGUGCCAGCAGCCGCGGUAAUUC